CCCCGACUUAGGGAUAAGCCUGGGAAACUGGGUCUAAUACCGGAUAUGCACCGUGGACCGCAUGGUCCUUGGUGGAAAGACUUGUUGGUCAGGGAUGGACUCGCGGCCUAUCAGCUUGUUGGUGAGGUAAUGGCUCACCAAGGCGACGACGGGUAGCCGGCCUGAGAGGGUGACCGGCCACACUGGGACUGAGACACGGCCCAGACUCCUACGGGAGGCAGCAGUGGGGAAUAUUGCACAAUGGGCGAAAGCCUGAUGCAGCGACGCCGCGUGAGGGAUGACGGCCUUCGGGUUGUAAACCUCUUUCAGUAGGGAAGAAGCAAAAGUGACGGUACCUGCAGAAGAAGCGCCGGGCUAACUA
Molecule: ribosomal RNA, 361 nt
Filed under: Arthrobacter sp.
Lineage: Bacteria; Bacillati; Actinomycetota; Actinomycetes; Micrococcales; Micrococcaceae
Description: bacterial SSU rRNA
Rfam family: Bacterial small subunit ribosomal RNA
Source: RNAcentral